This 444-nucleotide ribosomal RNA is filed under the name uncultured Prevotellaceae bacterium. RNAcentral's name for it is "bacterial SSU rRNA". It matches the Rfam family "Bacterial small subunit ribosomal RNA", at positions 352 to 794 of the family's 1533-position model. Lineage: Bacteria; Pseudomonadati; Bacteroidota; Bacteroidia; Bacteroidales; Prevotellaceae. The record is from RNAcentral.
UGAGGGAAUAUUUGGGUCAAUGGACGGGAGUCUGAACCAGCCAAGUAGCGUGCAGGACGACGGCCCUAUGGGUUGUAAACUGCUUUUAUAGGGGGAUAAAGUGUGCCACGUGUCGCCUAUUGUAUGUACCAUCAGAAAAAGGACCGGCUAAUUCCGUGCCAGCAGCCGCGGUAAUACGGAAGGUCCAGGCGUUAUCCGGAUUUAUUGGGUUUAAAGGGAGCGUAGGCGGAGAGAUAAGUCAGCGGUAAAAUCGUGCGGCUCAACCGUACCUCGCCGUUGAUACUGUUUUUCUUGAGUGCACACAGGGAUGCUGGAAUUCGUCGUGUAGCGGUGAAAUGCUUAGAUAUGACGAAGAACUCCGAUCGCGAAGGCAGGUGUCCGGGGUGCAACUGACGCUGAGGCUCGAAAGUGCGGGUAUCAAACAGGAUUAGAUACCCUGGUAGU